Molecule: transfer RNA, 64 nt
Filed under: Taeniacara candidi
Lineage: Eukaryota; Metazoa; Chordata; Actinopteri; Cichliformes; Cichlidae
Description: tRNA-Cys
Source: RNAcentral
GCCCCGAGGUGUAAACAUUUCGGAUUGCAAACCCGAAGAGGCAGGUUAGCCCCUGCCGGGGCUU